GACGAACGCUGGCGGCGUGCUUAACACAUGCAAGUCGAACGGAAAGGCCCUGCUUUUGUGGGGUGCUCGAGUGGCGAACGGGUGAGUAACACGUGAGUAACCUGCCCUUGACUUUGGGAUAACUUCAGGAAACUGGGGCUAAUACCGGAUAGGAGCUCCUGCUGCAUGGUGGGGGUUGGAAAGUUUCGGCGGUUGGGGAUGGACUCGCGGCUUAUGAGCUAGUUGGUGAGGUAGUGGCUUACCAAGGCUUCGACGGGUAGCCGGCCUGAGAGGGUGAUCGGCCACAUGGGAACGGGGACAGGGGCAAGAGGUCUAAGGGAGGCAGGAGUAGGGAAUCGUACGAAAUGGGGGAAAGCCUGACGGAGCAACGCCGCGUGAGUGAUGAAGUUUUUCGGAGCGGAAAACGCUGUUAGUAGGGAAGAAAAAAUGUGGAAGUAACUAUGCACGUCUUGACGGUACCUAAUCAGAAAGCCACGGCUAACUACGUG
RNAcentral lists this ribosomal RNA (488 nucleotides) under uncultured bacterium. RNAcentral describes it as "partial 16S ribosomal RNA". It matches the Rfam family "Bacterial small subunit ribosomal RNA", at positions 28 to 507 of the family's 1533-position model. The record is from RNAcentral.